RNAcentral lists this ribosomal RNA (209 nucleotides) under uncultured bacterium. RNAcentral's name for it is "partial 16S ribosomal RNA". It matches the Rfam family "Bacterial small subunit ribosomal RNA", at positions 568 to 774 of the family's 1533-position model. The record is from RNAcentral.
UGCGUAGGUGGCAGAUCAAGUCUGGAGUAAAAGGUAUGGGCUCAACCCGUACUGGCUCUGGAAACUGAUCAGCUAGAGAACAGAAGAGGACGGCGGAACUCCAUGUGUAGCGGUAAAAUAGCGUAGAUAUAUGGAAGAACACCGGUGGCGAAGGCGGCCGUCUGGUCUGGAUUCUGACACUGAAGCACGAAAGCGUGGGGGAGCAAAUA